Molecule: long non-coding RNA, 1119 nt
Filed under: Parus major (Great Tit)
Lineage: Eukaryota; Metazoa; Chordata; Aves; Passeriformes; Paridae
Description: lncRNA (ENSPMJG00000015722.1)
Source: RNAcentral
UCAGUCUUGAUAAAUGACAGCCUCCUCCCUUUCUGCAGAUGUCUCCAUGACCCAUUGCCUGCAGCUCUCUGCUCUGCUGACAGCCUCGGGGAGCAGCGUGUCUGGGUCUCAUAUGGAUGUCACUUAAACUGAAACUAAUUAAGAAACAUCUGCAGACAACAAAACAGUGUCAAGUGUGAACAACAAAAUUUCUUCUAAGAGAAGAGUAGAGCACACUCUCAACAAUUCUGGGAAAGCUCUGUCCAAACAAAUGCCAUGUUUAUGUCCUCACUGGAGUUCCAGUGUGUUUCAACCUGUCUCUCAAGAGCACUGCAAACCAAGACAGUUUGACCCAGACAUUGCAAUCAGCAAUACUAAUUAAAUUUCAAACACCAUCAUCAGCUAGUCUGGUUUAGGUAUAGUGCUCUUAUAAGAGAUAGGAACAUAAAACAAUGAUUGCUUGCUUAUGAAAAAGAUAUUUUACUUUAAACUGAUAUUUUUUUUCUUUUUAUAAUUCUCAAGAACUCACUAGAGAGUCUUGUAAAGGUUAUACUGAGACAUUUUGCCUAUCUCUAACCCAAUUUCAUUUCUUUUAUGCUUCAUCUGAAGUCACUGGAAUUGUCAUGUUUCUUUAUGGGAUAAUUAUAACAUCCCUGUAAGGUUUUAUUACCUUAACACACUGGUAUAUAUUCUCAACCCUAACUCUAGUUUAAUAUGUAUAUUUAAAUAAUUAAUAUGUAGCCUAGACAAGCAUGUGGUGCAGCAGAGAAAUUAGAAGUCAGGAGUGUCUCUGAGGGAAAGAUGCACCCUGUCCACAUUACUAUCCUUCCCAUAAGAAUGGCUAAGAGGGUUUAGACUCAAAAAAAAUUGGACCAUAACAUUUCUUGUUCCUUCCUGCUGGUAAAACAAACUUUUACACAGUGUUGUCAACCUGAAGAAGCAAAAAAAUAUGAGAUGAGGCUUCCACAUCAGGAUCACACGGUUGAAAAACAAUGUGGGGAAAAGGGCCAGUGGAUUUUGUGUUUGCAAUUGUGAGGAUAAGAAAAUGGGUUUUGCCUUUUUUUCUUUAUGCAGAAUGAGUUUCCCACAGGUCUAAGGGAAAAAAAUAAAAAUAAUUUGGUAAGGGCUUGGAGGCUAACA